RNAcentral lists this ribosomal RNA (464 nucleotides) under uncultured bacterium. Its description in RNAcentral is "partial 16S ribosomal RNA". It matches the Rfam family "Bacterial small subunit ribosomal RNA", at positions 28 to 507 of the family's 1533-position model. The record is from RNAcentral.
GACGAACGCUGGCGGCGUGCUUAACACAUGCAAGUCGAACGGUAAGGCCCUUUCGGGGGUGCACGAGUGGGGAACGGGUGAGUAACACGUGGGUGAUCUGCCCUGCACGUUGGGAUAAGCCUGGGAAACUGGGUCUAAUACCGGAUAGGACUACGCGAUUCAUGUCGUGGGGUGGAAAGCUUUUGCGGUGUGGGAUGGGGGCGGGGCCUAUCAGCUUGUUGGUGGGGUGAUGGCAUACCAAGGCGACGACGGGUAGCCGGCCUGAGAGGGUGUCCGGCCACACUGGGACUGAGAUACGGCGCAGCCUCCUACGGGAGGCAGCAGUGGGGAAUAUUGCACAAUGGGCGCAAGCCUGAUGCAGCGACGCCGCGUGGGGGAUGACGGCCUUCGGGUUGUAAACCACUUUCAGCACAGACGAAGCGUAAGUGACGGUAUGUGCAGAAGAAGCACCGGCUAACUACAUG